UUAAGCGACUAAGCGUACACGGUGGAUGCCCUGGCAGUCAGAGGCGAUGAAGGACGUGCUAAUCUGCGAUAAGCGUCGGUAAGGUGAUAUGAACCGUUAUAACCGGCGAUUUCCGAAUGGGGAAACCCAGUGUGAUUCGUCACACUAUCAUUAACUGAAUCCAUAGGUUAAUGAGGCGAACCGGGGGAACUGAAACAUCUAAGUACCCCGAGGAAAAGAAAUCAACCGAGAUUCCCCCAGUAGCGGCGAGCGAACGGGGAGGAGCCCAGAGCCUGAAUCAGUGUGUGUGUUAGUGGAAGCGUCUGGAAAGGCGCGCGAUACAGGGUGACAGCCCCGUACACAAAAAUGCACAUACUGUGAGCUCGAUGAGUAGGGCGGGACACGUGGUAUCCUGUCUGAAUAUGGGGGGACCAUCCUCCAAGGCUAAAUACUCCUGACUGACCGAUAGUGAACCAGUACCGUGAGGGAAAGGCGAAAAGAACCCCGGCGAGGGGAGUGAAAAAGAACCUGAAACCGUGUACGUACAAGCAGUGGGAGCCUCUUAAUGGGGUGACUGCGUACCUUUUGUAUAAUGGGUCAGCGACUUAUAUUCUGUAGCAAGGUUAACCGAAUAGGGGAGCCGAAGGGAAACCGAGUCUUAACUGGGCGUUAAGUUGCAGGGUAUAGACCCGAAACCCGGUGAUCUAGCUAUGGGCAGGUUGAAGGUUGGGUAACACUAACUGGAGGACCGAACCGACUAAUGUUGAAAAAUUAGCGGAUGACUUGUGGCUGGGGGUGAAAGGCCAAUCAAACCGGGAGAUAGCUGGUUCUCCCCGAAAGCUAUUUAGGUAGCGCCUCGUGAAUUCAUCUCCGGGGGUAGAGCACUGUUUCGGCAAGGGGGUCAUCCCGACUUACCAACCCGAUGCAAACUGCGAAUACCGGAGAAUGUUAUCACGGGAGACACACGGCGGGUGCUAACGUCCGUCGUGAAGAGGGAAACAACCCAGACCGCCAGCUAAGGUCCCAAAGUCAUGGUUAAGUGGGAAACGAUGUGGGAAGGCCCAGACAGCCAGGAUGUUGGCUUAGAAGCAGCCAUCAUUUAAAGAAAGCGUAAUAGCUCACUGGUCGAGUCGGCCUGCGCGGAAGAUGUAACGGGGCUAAACCAUGCACCGAAGCUGCGGCAGCGACGCUUAUGCGUUGUUGGGUAGGGGAGCGUUCUGUAAGCCUGUGAAGGUGGCCUGUGAGGGUUGCUGGAGGUAUCAGAAGUGCGAAUGCUGACAUAAGUAACGAUAAAGCGGGUGAAAAGCCCGCUCGCCGGAAGACCAAGGGUUCCUGUCCAACGUUAAUCGGGGCAGGGUGAGUCGACCCCUAAGGCGAGGCCGAAAGGCGUAGUCGAUGGGAAACAGGUUAAUAUUCCUGUACUUGGUGUUACUGCGAAGGGGGGACGGAGAAGGCUAUGUUGGCCGGGCGACGGUUGUCCCGGUUUAAGCGUGUAGGCUGGUUUUCCAGGCAAAUCCGGAAAAUCAAGGCUGAGGCGUGAUGACGAGGCACUACGGUGCUGAAGCGACAAAUGCCCUGCUUCCAGGAAAAGCCUCUAAGCAUCAGGUAACAUUAAAUCGUACCCCAAACCGACACAGGUGGUCAGGUAGAGAAUACCAAGGCGCUUGAGAGAACUCGGGUGAAGGAACUAGGCAAAAUGGUGCCGUAACUUCGGGAGAAGGCACGCUGAUAUGUAGGUGAAGCGACUUGCUCGUGGAGCUGAAAUCAGUCGAAGAUACCAGCUGGCUGCAACUGUUUAUUAAAAACACAGCACUGUGCAAACACGAAAGUGGACGUAUACGGUGUGACGCCUGCCCGGUGCCGGAAGGUUAAUUGAUGGGGUUAGCGGUAACGCGAAGCUCUUGAUCGAAGCCCCGGUAAACGGCGGCCGUAACUAUAACGGUCCUAAGGUAGCGAAAUUCCUUGUCGGGUAAGUUCCGACCUGCACGAAUGGCGUAAUGAUGGCCAGGCUGUCUCCACCCGAGACUCAGUGAAAUUGAACUCGCUGUGAAGAUGCAGUGUACCCGCGGCAAGACGGAAAGACCCCGUGAACCUUUACUAUAGCUUGACACUGAACAUUGAGCCUUGAUGUGUAGGAUAGGUGGGAGGCUUUGAAGUGUGGACGCCAGUCUGCAUGGAGCCGACCUUGAAAUACCACCCUUUAAUGUUUGAUGUUCUAACGUGGGCCCCUUACCGGGGUUGCGGACAGUGUCUGGUGGGUAGUUUGACUGGGGCGGUCUCCUCCUAAAGAGUAACGGAGGAGCACGAAGGUUGGCUAAUCCUGGUCGGACAUCAGGAGGUUAGUGCAAUGGCAUAAGCCAGCUUGACUGCGAGCGUGACGGCGCGAGCAGGUGCGAAAGCAGGUCAUAGUGAUCCGGUGGUUCUGAAUGGAAGGGCCAUCGCUCAACGGAUAAAAGGUACUCCGGGGAUAACAGGCUGAUACCGCCCAAGAGUUCAUAUCGACGGCGGUGUUUGGCACCUCGAUGUCGGCUCAUCACAUCCUGGGGCUGAAGUAGGUCCCAAGGGUAUGGCUGUUCGCCAUUUAAAGUGGUACGCGAGCUGGGUUUAGAACGUCGUGAGACAGUUCGGUCCCUAUCUGCCGUGGGCGCUGGAGAACUGAGGGGGGCUGCUCCUAGUACGAGAGGACCGGAGUGGACGCAUCACUGGUGUUCGGGUUGUCAUGCCAAUGGCACUGCCCGGUAGCUAAAUGCGGAAGAGAUAAGUGCUGAAAGCAUCUAAGCACGAAACUUGCCCCGAGAUGAGUUCUCCCUGACUCCUUGAGAGUCCUGAAGGAACGUUGAAGACGACGACGUUGAUAGGCCGGGUGUGUAAGCGCAGCGAUGCGUUGAGCUAACCGGUACUAAUGAACCGUGAGGCUUAACCUU
RNAcentral lists this ribosomal RNA (2903 nucleotides) under Escherichia coli KTE23. RNAcentral's name for it is "bacterial LSU rRNA". It matches the Rfam family "Bacterial large subunit ribosomal RNA". The record is from RNAcentral. Lineage: Bacteria; Pseudomonadati; Pseudomonadota; Gammaproteobacteria; Enterobacterales; Enterobacteriaceae.